This 85-nucleotide transfer RNA is filed under the name Felis catus (domestic cat). It matches the Rfam family "tRNA". From Rfam's summary of the family: Transfer RNA (tRNA) molecules are approximately 80 nucleotides in length. Lineage: Eukaryota; Metazoa; Chordata; Mammalia; Carnivora; Felidae. The record is from Rfam by way of RNAcentral.
GCCUGGAUAGCUCAAUUGGUUAAGUGUCUGACUUCGGCUCAGGUCAUGAUCUCCUGGUUCGUGGGUUUGAGCCCUACUUUGGGCU